AAGACCUUACGCUUUUGGAGCGGCCGAUGUCUGAUUAGCUUGUUGGUGAGGUAAAGGCUUACCAAGGCUUCGAUCAGUAGCUGGUCUGAGAGGACGACCAGCCACACUGGGACUGAGACACGGCCCAGACUCCUACGGGAGGCAGCAGUGGGGAAUUUUGGACAAUGGGGGAAACCCUGAUCCAGCCAUGCCGCGUGAGUGAAGAAGGCCUUCGGGUUGUAAAGCUCUUUCAGCCGGAACGAAACGGUUACGAUUAAUACCUGUAACUACUGACGGUACCGGAAGAAGAAGCACCGGCUAACUACGUGUCAGCAGCCGCGGUAAUACGUAGGGUGCGAGCGUUAAUCGGAAUUACUGGGCGUAAAGCGUGCGCAGGUGGUUUUGUAAGUCAGAUGUGAAAUCCCCGGGCUUAACCUGGGAACU
This 423-nucleotide ribosomal RNA is filed under the name uncultured bacterium. RNAcentral's name for it is "bacterial SSU rRNA". It matches the Rfam family "Bacterial small subunit ribosomal RNA", at positions 207 to 622 of the family's 1533-position model. The record is from RNAcentral.